AAACUUAAAGGAAUUGACGGGGCCCGCACAAGCGGUGGAGCAUGUGGUUUAAUUCGAAGCAACGCGAAGAACCUUACCAGGUCUUGACAUCCCGAUGCUAUUUCUAGAGAUAGAAAGUUACUUCGGUACAUCGGUGACAGGUGGUGCAUGGUUGUCGUCAGCUCGUGUCGUGAGAUGUUGGGUUAAGUCCCGCAACGAGCGCAACCCUUAUCAUUAGUUGCUACGCAAGGGCACUCUAAUGAGACUGCCGGUGACAAACCGGAGGAAGGUGGGGAUGACGUCAAGUCCUCAUGGCCCUUAUGGGUAGGGCUUCACACGUCAUACAAUGGUCGGUACAGAGGGUUGCCAAGCCGCGAGGCGGAGCCAAUCCCACAAAGCCGAUCGUAGUCCGGAUUGUUCUCUGCAACUCGAGAGCAUGAAGUCGGAAUCGCUAGUAAUCGCAGGUCAGCAUACUGCGGUGAAUACGUUCCCGGGUCUU
Molecule: ribosomal RNA, 478 nt
Filed under: uncultured Thiobacillus sp.
Lineage: Bacteria; Pseudomonadati; Pseudomonadota; Betaproteobacteria; Nitrosomonadales; Thiobacillaceae
Description: bacterial SSU rRNA
Rfam family: Bacterial small subunit ribosomal RNA
Source: RNAcentral